This 235-nucleotide ribosomal RNA is filed under the name uncultured bacterium. RNAcentral's name for it is "partial 16S ribosomal RNA". It matches the Rfam family "Bacterial small subunit ribosomal RNA", at positions 96 to 334 of the family's 1533-position model. The record is from RNAcentral.
UGGCGGACGGGUGAGUAAUGUCUGGGAAACUGCCUGAUGGAGGGGGAUAACUACUGGAAACGGUAGCUAAUACCGCAUAACGUCGCAAGACCAAAGAGGGGGACCUUAGGGCCUCUUGCCUUCGGAUGUGCCCAGAUGGGAUUAGCUAGUAGGUGGGGUAACGGCUCACCUAGGCGACGAUCCCUAGCUGGUCUGAGAGGAUGACCAGCCACACUGGAACUGAGACACGGUCCAG